AGACUCACAUAGAGGCAGCAGUAGAGAAUCUUGUGCAAUAAACGAAAGUAUGACACAGAGAGGACACAUUUAAUUGAGCCCGUCAAAUUAAGUGCCAGCCGACGCGGUUAAACUUAAGGGCUGGUCUUUAUAAGUAAAAAGGCGUAAAGGAUGUGUAGGCCAAGAAACAAUCAAAGUAGGUAAAUGGAAUUUUUCUGGAGCGGUAGAAUGUGAGGAUAGAAAAUAGAACCCCUAAGGUAAAAACUAUUUACCACAAGGUAGGCUGAAACAUGAGAGUGUGGGGAGCAAACAGGAUUAGAGACCCUGGUAGUCCACACUGUAAACUUUGAAGAUGAUGCUUAGCAGACCCGAAAGGUAAAAUCUUCCGCCUGAGUAGUACGAUCGCAAGAUUAAAAUUCAAAAACUUUGGCUGUUCACUAUUUCGAUUAGAGGAGCGUGUAGUUUAAUUCGAUGGUCCGCGUGUUACCUUACCCCAACUUGAAUCUGUGACCGGUAUUGCAUGGCCGUCGUAAGUUCGUGUAUUAAGCUAGAAGGGACCCAACCCGGGCAUUUGCCCGGAGGAAGUCAGGUCUUAUGAUCCGAAUGUUGGGGGAUUUUAUGCGCUACAUUUUCUUAUAUAAUGGGAAACCUGAAAGGUGAGCCUCUAAAGUAAGAGUUCGGAAGGUCGCUGUAAGACGACUGGAAGUUGGAUUUAAUAGUAAUCGGAAAGUAGGGCGUUCCGGUGAAUUGGUACAAGUGUUAGCACAAAUUGCCCGUCACCUUUACCUAGAAUGGUUANUCGGACGUCUUCGGUGAUACGAAUGCCUACGAGGUAAAGCAG
Molecule: ribosomal RNA, 820 nt
Filed under: Stichodactyla mertensii (Merten's carpet sea anemone)
Lineage: Eukaryota; Metazoa; Cnidaria; Anthozoa; Actiniaria; Stichodactylidae
Description: partial 12S ribosomal RNA
Rfam family: Bacterial small subunit ribosomal RNA
Source: RNAcentral